GUGAGGCGCAGCUCUACACGAAUGCCAUGCACUAGUUAGUAUAGACGGUUAUUUCAACAGCAACACUUGCAAGUCUGAGCCUAGAAACUUGCGACACAGAGCAGGAGGGUGGGAAGGUUCAAGGGAGCUGGUGGAGAUCAAGGGGUAAGGGUCGGAAAAGGAACUUAUGAUCUGAUCCUUAAACUAGAGGAUUUGGUAUGCUAGGGAUCCUCAGACUCAACCGCUGAAGGGUUCCCAAGUUUUACACAUACACCCUCGGGUUGAAGAAAAAGAUCACAGCCGAGCCCUCGGGCGAGGCGGAUAAGGGUCAGCGGAACAGAUAGGGUCGGGCGAGACGGAACCGGGGUCGGGCGGAUAAGAGGGGUCGGGCGAAGCGGACUGGGGUCGGCAGCUUACCUUCUUCCUACAAGGAAAGCUUGGGGUCGGGGAGAAACAGACUUGGGCGGAGGGGCUAAGGUUUUGAACAACGGCUAGGUCCGACUGUGCUCCGGCGGCUGCGGUGCUCCUUGUGGAUCACAAGUGAGCUCUUACGCAGCACGGAGGAGCAAGCGGCUGGAUGGCUUGGGGAAAACGGAGUGGAGCGGAGAGGAGAGUUCCUCAGGAACUUAGUGUGUGGCGCUAGGAGCUUGAGCAGGGAGCGAGAGAAAAGGUGGAAGGAAGCAAUGGUGGAGGGAACUCCGGCGGGGCUCGCGCAUUCCCUUUUAUAGCGGCUGGGAAGGGAGAAGGGAAGCGGCGCGGGAGUGAGAAGGGGAGCGGCGCGAAGGCCGGGGAAGAACAAUGGAGUGCUCUGCCUGGGCGGCGAUUGAGCGACGAGGGCGGUGGUGCAGGACUUCGGGGAUGACGCCAACGGUCAUUGGGCUCUGGCGUUAGGGCGGCGUAGGAGCGGGUAUGCUGGUGGUUGAGAUUUGGCGGAGGCGGGCGUCGUCGUGCGGUAGAUUUGAUGGAAGUGACCGGGUUAACGGUGCUAGAAUCAAGGGCGCACAGGUGAGAAGACAGGCAGCCGCGGGCGCGCGGGCGAGCGCAGAGAAACAGAUUGUCGGGCGGCUUCUGACAGGGCGGGGAAAGGAGCUUUCGCUGCCGUGGUCAGGGUUGGCGAAGGAGGAAUCGUCGGGUAGCGAAGACCAGGCGGUGCGACUGUGUUCGAAGUGACGGAAAAGAUGGUCGACAUCGGGCUCUGCGGCCGGGAUCUGGCGAUGUGAUGAUGGGCGCGGGAGGCGAGGCGUUGCAGAAAGGUUGCAGAGGGCCUUCCGCUGCCAUUGGGGAAGGGGGUGCGAGAAUCCAUUCGAUCACGGGCCAGAGACGAGGCUGAGCGACGGGCGUCGGAGAAGUUGAGCCACGCGGCGGGGAGACUCUGAAGCGGGCAUGCAACUCGAGUGCGCCUGUCGCGGAAGAUCUGGGGGAAAAAGAUCUCGUAGGUCCACUGGUUAGAUAGAACGGGCGUUUUGGGAAGGACUUAGAAGGAUCCGACGGUGAGCUGGGUUUGGCGGGGUCGAAACCGGAGCGAAGCGGGGAGGGGUCGGGUCUCAGGGGUCGGGACCGGUCGGGAGGUUGAACACUCAGGCUUGGAAAGCUAGACAGGUGAUCAGGGGCUCGGAUGAAGAUUAACUUGGAAGAUUUGGGGCCGGUCGUCACAGCCUACCCCUCUUAAAAGGAAUCUCGUCCCGAGAUUCAGGUAUCAAGGGGGUGUGCCGUUCUUACCUCCUUGACGAGAUAGAAAACCUGGGAAGUGCUUGCUCAGAUACUCGUCUGUUUCCCAUGUCGCUUCAUCCUCCGUGUGGUUUCUCCAGAGGAUCUUGUACAUUUUGACCAUUUGGCACCGGGUAUGCCUUUCUUUCUGGUCAAGAAUUCGGUCUGGGUACUCGGCGUAGGUUAGGUCGGGCUCCACCUGAAGCUGCUCUGGCUCUAAGAUCUCGGUUGGAACUUGGACACAUUUCUUCAGUUGAGACACAUGGAAAACAUCGUGUAUGGCCGAUAGCUGUUCUGGGAGUUGGAUCCGGUAAGCAACGGGUCCACAGAUCUCCACAAUCUCAUAAGGGCCAAUGUAGCGGGGAGCCAACUUGCCUUUCACUCCAAACCGUUGCACUCCUUUGGUCGGGGAGACUCGAAGACACACAUGAUCACCAAGGUCAAACUGUAGAGGCCUUCUUCGCCUGUCGGAAUAACUCUUUUGUCGAGAUUGGGCAGCCUUGAGAUUGGCUUGAAUUACCCUUACUUGCUCUUCGGCUUCUGCCACUAAGUCAGGGCCAUAGACCUGUCUCUCUCCUGCUUGGGACCAGUUCAAGGGUGUCCGACAUCUCCGGCCAUACAGGGCUUCAAACGGUGCCAUUUUCAAACUGGCCUGGUAGCUGUUGUUGUAGGAGAACUCCGCCAAGGGCAGGCACUUGUCCCAGUUCUUGUCAUAGUGGACGACACAAGCUCUCAACAUGUCUUCAAGGAUUUGAUUGACUCUUUCGGUUUGACCAUCAGUUUGAGGAUGAUAUGUUGAGCUACGGAUGAGCUUGGUGCCCAUGGAUGCUUGUAGCUGUUCCCAAAAGCGUGCCACAAUCUGAACUCCUCGAUCCGAGAUGAUAGUCUUGGGUACACCGUGUAGAGAAACUAUGCGGUCGAGGUAUAACUCCGCAUACUGCUUGACUGUGUGGGUGGUGCAGAUAGGAAGGAAGUGGGCAGUCUUGGUCAGGCAGUCCACUAUAACCCAGAUGGAGUCAUAUCGCUGCGAUGUAAGGGGCAGUCCAACUAUGAAAUCCAUGUUGAUGUCUUCCCAUUUCCAAGAGGGAAUAGGUAGGGGCUGCAGGGUACCUGCUACCUUUAGAUGGCUGGCCUUGACACGUUGAUAGGUAUCACAUUCUGCAACAUAACGGGCAAUUUCCGACUUCAUUCCACUCCACCAAAAGGUUUGACGGAGAUCAUGGUACAUCUUAUUGCUGCCACGAUGGAUUGAGAACUUGGAGAGAUGAGCUUCGUCUAGGAUCUGCUUCCUCAGUUUGGGGUCGGCUGGUACAACCAGUCGGUGUCCAUAAUAUACGCCUCCAGUUUCGUCCUGCCGGAAUUGCUUAUAUCCUUCAUCCUUUAACGAGAUCUUCCUGAUGAUCCGCUUUAUUUCCUCAUCCUCUACUUCUGCUGUCUGUAUUUGGUCUUCCAAAACUGAGUCAAGGGUGAUGUCGCCGAGGGUUCCAUGGGAAAUAAUUUCCAAACUGAGUUUUCCCAUUUCAUGACACAGUGUCUCGGCGAAAGUUGUUGCCAACAAGCAGUUGCAACAGUUCUUGUGUCUAAGAGCAUUGGCCACCACAUUGGCUUUGCCGGGAUGAUAGUGAACUUCCAAGUCAUAGUCUUUUAUCAACUCCAACCAUCUUCUUUGGCGCAUGUUGAGGUCGGCUUGAGUGAAGAUGUACUUGAGGCUCUUGUGGUCGGUAUAGAUGUUGCAGUGGGUGCCCAUCAGAUAGUGUCUCCAUAUGUUUAAGGCAUGAAUCACUGCUGCUAGCUCAAGGUCAUGGGUCGGGUAGUUCAGCUCAUGGGGUCGUAAUGCUUGUGAGGCAUAGGCAAUGACUCGGUUGUCUUGCAUAAGAACACACCCAAGUCCAGUGCCAGAGGCGUCACAGUACACAUCAAACGGCCUAGAAGGUUCGGGCUGAGCCAAAACUGGGGCUGUGGUCAGCAGGUGCUUCAGGGUCUUGAAGGCUUCUUCGCACUUGUCGCUCCACGCGAACCUGACCUCUUUCUUCAACAACUCUGUCAUCGGCUUAGCUAUCUUAGAGAAAUCCGGUAUAAAGCGCCGAUAGUAGCCUGCCAGUCCAAGGAAACUUCUGAUCUGGUGCACUGAGGUAGGAGGCUUCCAUUCCAUAACUUCCUGUACCUUACUGGGGUCGACGGCUAUACCAUCCUUGGAGAUAGUGUGUCCUAAAAACUUGACACUAUCUAACCAAAACUCACACUUGGAGAACUUGGCAUAGAGUUGGUGAUCUCUCAGCCGUUGGAGAACUACAUGAAGAUGAUCGGCAUGUUCUUCUUCGCUCUUUGAGUACACUAGUAUAUCAUCACUGAACACCACUACAAACUUGUCCAGCUCGGGCAUGAACACCGAGUUCAUGAGGUACAUGAAAUAGGCGGGUGCAUUGGUGAGUCCAAAGGACAUGACCAGGUACUCGUAUAGUCCAUAUUUGGUAGAGAAGGCUGUCUUGGGUAUGUCGCAAGGUCGGAUCUUGAUUUGGUGAUAACCCGAGCGAAGAUCGAUCUUGGAGAACACCUUUGCUCCAGCCAACUGAUCAAACAAGACAUCAAUGUGUGGCAGUGGGUACUUGUUCUUGACGGUCACAGCAUUGAGGGGUCGGUAGUCCACACACAUGCGUAGACUGCCAUCCUUCUUCUUCACAAACAGGGCGGGGCAACCCCAAGGUGAUGUGCUGGGUCGGAUGAAGCCUUUUUCCAACAAAUCAUGCAACUGGGUCUUCAACUCGGCCAACUCAGCAGGUGGCAUCCGAUAGGGUCUCUUGGAUAUUGGUGCGGUGCCGGGGAUCAACUCCAUGGAAAACUCUACCUCUCUAUCAGGUGGCAUACCAGGCAAGUCUUCGGGGAACACGUCAGGAUACUCACAGACAACAGGGAGAUUUUCUAGUCGGGCUCCUGAUAGAGGGUACGCACAAGGGAGUGCGGACUUAGGAUGUUUCAAGGAUAGGGUAGAACUACCAUGGAAGCGUGAGUUGAUGUGGAGAGAUCGGGCGGCUGUAUCUAGAACCACUUGAUGUUUGGCCAUCCAAUCCAUACCGAGGAUGACAUCUAUGCCUUCUAGGUCAAGGAUGAUAAGGUUUUCCUUGAAAAGGGUUGGGCCUAGCUGGAGAGGUACAAGAGUGACGAUCUGAUCCGAAGCUAUCUUCCCUCCCGGAGUGGCGAUCACAUAGGAUUCCUUAGUGUGACCGACAUCCAGCUCACAUCUUUCUCUAGCCUUACCCCCGAUAAAGCUAUGAGAGGCUCCCGAAUCAAACAACACAACAACAGCUUGAUUUUAGACAAGGAAAGUACCUGUCAUUACUGGCGCACCUUCGGGGAGCUCGGUCAAGUUGGUGUAGUUGAGUCGGCCCUGUCAGACUUGUACCUUGGGCCUUCUUCCUCUGUUUGCCAUGGGGUUCUGGCCUUGCUGCUGAUUCUUAUUCCUGGGGCAGUCCUUAGCAAAAUGCCCUUCAUUGCCGCAGGUGAAACAACGGCUACUAGCUGCAGGGCGAGGUGGUGCUGGUGGGGUCGGCUGGGGCGCCUGUGGUUGGAAGCCGGGGAAACGGGGCGCUGCUGCUGGCGGGGGUCGGGCAAUCCACCUUCCCGACUGCUGGGGUCGGCUGGGCGCUUGUGGAGGAACCAUUCGGAACCUUCGAGUUGGCUGGCUCGGAGAUGCCACGGAGGCCUUCCUCUUCUGGUCGGCUUUGAGAGCCUGCAUGCAAUCCUCUUGAGAGAUGGCCAGAUUGACCAACUCGUUGUAGGUGUCCACCUUGAUGGGGUUCAACCUUUCUCUGAGCUCCAAGCUCAGUCCUCGGCGGAAUCUGUCCCGCUUCUUCUCAUCUGUGUUCGCAUGAUAUCCGGCAUAACGGCACAAGUCGUUGAAAGCUUGGGCGUAGUGCAGCACAUCUCGGGUUCCCUGGGUAAGAGCCAGGAACUCAUUGAGCUUGCGCUCCAAGAGACCUUCUGGGAUGUGAUGCGCUUUAAACGCGGUCUUGAACUCGUUCCAGCUGACCACAUGGCCAGUCGGCAACAUGGCAUGGUAGUGGUCCCACCAGAGCCGUGCGGAGCCACGCAACUGUUGAGCUGCGAACCGAGCCUUGUUAUGGUCGGGGCACGGGGCGGUGAGAAGCUCGAACUUGGAUUCGAUCGUACGAACCCAGGCGUCAGCGUCGAGCGGUUCUUGUGUCUUCUGAAACAAAGGGGGCUGUGUCCCUAAAAAGUCCUCAUAGAGAGCAACACGCGGCUGCUGCUGAGCCCUUCCACCAUGGGGCUCAUGCUGUUGUCCUUGUACAAGAUGCCUUAGCAGCUCGGUUUGAGUUGCUAGGAUUGCCUCUAGUGGAGACGAGGGCGGGGGUGGGGGAAGAUCCUGUCGCUGCUCGCUGCUGCCGGGCACAGAACCAGAUCUGGUGCGAUGCGCCAUCUGCAAGAGUUAGCGUUCCAUUAAAUCCCAAAAACUUAGAAGUACUCCAACAGAUGGAACGCAUAAGUUAAAUUCUCCAAUACAACUCUUGCCGAUAAUGCAACACACGUCCUCAUAAGGGAGAUAUACUCUUCUCAUCAUCAUGUUAGAUAGCGUUUAUCUUAGCCUUGUACUCAACUCUGGGCGAAUCAUACCCUACCCAGACUCCUAUAAUCCAACUUAAGCCACGGGGUCAGGCUAGGCGAUCCUCCCGAGAAAAAAAAAAGUCGGCAACGAUCCACAUUAAAAAGGGGUCGGCGCAUCCGGUCUCGCGAACCGGGGUCGGCCAACUUGAACAGACCCACAGAAAACAGCGGGCGUGGUCGCGGCUCAACUCACUUAGGCUAACAUUCCAACACUUCACAAGAGUUAGAGGCCAGACUCAGGAAUUGACUUUAUACACAGCGGUGUUCCAACACAGGGAGUACUCGACUCAAGGCUAACCUAUUACAAUCCUUUCCAAAAUUUAGGCUGCCGAGGAGCACAACAAAAGAAUGAGUCCCUGAUAACUCUUAAUCUACAAAUGGACACUAUGAGUAGGAGAAGGGGCGCCGUCUUCUUCGAUGUCCAUACUGGACGCUUCCUCAUCCUCCUCGGGAUCCUCUUGAGCUUCGAGAUGCAUAUGGAGGGCAUGCAUAUCGUCGAGCUCAGCUUGAUGCUCCUCCAAGUGAGCAUUGGCAACCGCCAGCUCCAUCUCUAUUUCCAUCUUCUCCUCCGACAGCUCGAUCAUGCCGUCCACUAGGUCGGCUAUUUCUCCCUCGAGCUCGGAGAUCCGGUCUUGCAUGUCGUGUAUCUGAAUGCCUCGUUGGAUAAGCUGGUAGGUUUGGCCUACCAUGUCUCUCCUGGCUGACUGGAGGUAUCCUUGAGCAUCCACUGCGGUCCGGGCAAGGAUGGUCAUGGCUCUCCCUUGUAGCUCGAUCAGCCGAUAGAGGGCUGUCAUGCAUCUGACGUUGGUGGAGAUGGUGACCAUGGAGUACGUGGUGGCUAGCACCUCAAUAUUUCCGACGCGGUCGAGCCACGCCGGAUCCAACCGGUUCCUUGCGGGGAACAGGCCGAUGGGGUCCAGGGUGACCUCCAGGGGAUGCAGCUGACAAAACUGGGUAAGAAGCUGGAGAGCGGCGGACUCCCAAGUGUCCUCCGGAGCAAGACCGUAGGCUGAUAUACCGAAGGAGGGCCAGUUGAGCCGCACAGGGGGAGGAGGUACCACCACCUGUACAUUGCACGUCUGGAUGCCCUGCUCCAGAUACAGUCGUCCGGCGUACAAUGGUGGGAACUGGUACCCAAACCAUUUCAACGUGUCCCACAAAAUCGCGGGGAAGCCCUCGAAAUGUAGACAGGUUGACUGGAAGGUACCAUCCGCUCCAAACAAAAUGUGUCCGGGGACGGCCAUCUGGAACCAAGAAACCAAAACCACGUGAGAUAGACUCCAAGGGUCGGGGGUCGGAUAGAGAAGCAUUCGGCUUUAACCGAGAGCAACUGGCAGAAACUAGAAAUCCUUAGAACCGAAAAAGAGCUCUUCCGAGCAAGGUUGCUUUUGAGGAGAGCGACUUUACAGAUUUUUGGCUUAUGACGCAUGCACGGCCUACCUUACUCUUAACCAAAACAACUGCCCGAAACAUGGGUCUUACGCGGUCAGUGCCGGUGGCAAGGCAACAAGUACGUCUCUCCCUAUAAUAGCUAGUCGGUUCUAGUAACGUCUUCUAAGCGAACGCGGUUAGUGUACCUGCAGAAAACACCAACACACGAACCUUUCGUGCCAGCACCCACGAACGCGUUCCCAAACAUUACCGCUCACUAUAGGAACGGCACCCAUGCAUUUAAGGCUGCAUGGACAGCACUCAACCGUGGAAAUAGGUUCCCUUUGAAUGGAACCAUAUAACCCUUCGCAUACUCGUGAUGCGGAAUCAGCACACGUGUGAUAGACGUGGCGAAUCAACCGUGUCGAUAGGUUCGUUGGAAUCGAACCGUACCAACCUUCGUAUGGAUUAACAUACGGAACCUGCGCACGUAUGAUAGACGUGGGCGAAAACAACCACGAUGAUAGGGUCCUUUGAAUAGAACUCCCUAUCAACCCUCGCAUACUCGUGAUGCGGAACUCGGCACACGUAUGAUAAACGUGGCGAAGUGCUGGAAGGGUUAGCAAGAUAACCAAAUAAAAUAUUAGCCACCUAAAACAACCCCAAAAUCACCUAGGGCCUCUCGCACUAAAGUCAUCCUUAACGAUCAUACGAGAUUUUUCAAAAAGUUUCUUGCAACUUUUAUCUUUUCAAAGAAGUGUUAGGGCUUGUUGUGUUCUCUGUACUGCUAAAACUGCUCUGGUACCAGCUGUGGCAGAUCCACUUCGGAUCUACUUGGUUAAACAUGAUUUAGCCGCCUGAUACGCGACACUCAUGCCUAAGCUGAGUAAACACGAAGUGCCGUCGGAUUUCCUCCGAUUUAACCACUUGAACAGGACCGUUUUAGCAGACUCACACGAAGGUGAGCGGUUCCAGAGAGUACAACAAGUCCACCGAGUUAACAACUUAACCACUUAGCUUGAUUAUAAAAUAACAUCAGAGUUUUACAAGGUUUUCAGAAGACAAAGGAAAGUAAAACCACUAGCGGAAGCAACGUCGGGGUCGGACAUCCUUGGUGAGGCCAGCCGGGACAUCACUGAUCCCUCUCCUCGCCGUCCGAGGAGGGAUCCCACUCGACCGUCCAACCCGGAGGGAGCUGGGGCGGCCAAGUGCCAGCAGGAGAAGGGUCGGGAGCAGCAACUUCACCUGAAAAACAGGAGCCACAACAAGGCUGAGCUACUAAGCUCAACAAGACUUAACCGACAGGAGUAAAGCUACUCCACACUUCUAGACAUGCAAGGCUCUUUGGCUGAGGGGUUUGUUUGCCAAGAAGCACUAAGUAAAACCCUAUUUUCAAGUUUUAGCUCCGGUUCUAAGUUCAUUAACCGGUCUAGGUUUUGCAACCUAUCCUAAGCAAUCAUAGAACCAAAACUAGGUAUGUAGAUAUCAACGAAACCAUGUUAUCAUCAGAUUCCUCAUUUACUCAGGGUGACAUAGCGAUCAAGCAGUCUCAACUGUGAGAGGCAGACGAAUCGAUUCGAGUUCUUUAACCAUGCAUGGUGAACCUAACCUCACGACAUCCGCGCACCACGGAGGUCGCUUCCUUUGUCGGCCUUCCCCAUCAAUCCCCUAACCCGUGUCGGGCCCAUUUCCUUUGGUGCAAGGUUCCACAGACCCGGCCUCUGCCGUUCUGUGACCACGCUUGCCACCACGUGCGACAACCAGCAGGGGAAACUCCGUUCCAAGAACAAUGGGGCGACCGCUCACAUCUAGGUUCAAUCCGGUACUCGGCUUCCUCAUCCCAUACUAAGUAUGAGGUUAGUACUUUCAAACACUUGAUCACGAACACCACCACUGUCGGGCCUUAGCAAGUUUUCAUAGACAGACGGGGCGAUCAUCCGACCACCAAAGAGUUACCCAAAACCCUACCCCGUCCAUCGUCCUUACAGUUGUAACAGAAAGGUAGACAUCCAACUCCUACAACUCGCGAGUGACAGGGAAUCACUCGGCUUUUACCGUUUCCUAGUUAAGCAAGGCAACUACUCGGUCCAACAGCUAGUGUUCAGAUCAUGGGAGCUAAGAUAUGCAUCUAGGGUUCCAAACAACUCCUAUACGUAAAUGCACAAGCAUGUUAUAGAAGGCAUGCGCAAGUCUGGCAAAACAACACAGGGUUUUCAUGCAACCGGGGCUUGCCUUCGAGCAAGGAGGAAGAGAACUGCUCGACUUCGGGGGCGGCUUCGGCUUCAGAGAGCAGGAGCUCAGCUACACCAUCGUCUUCUGGCGCCGGGUGCAGCUCGUAGAAGCCGUCGGCGAGGCGCAACUCUACACGAAUGCCAUGCACUAGUUAGUAUAGACGGUUAUUUCAACAGCAACACUUGCAAGUUUGAGCCCAGAAACUUGCGACACAGAGCAAAAGGGUGGGAAGGUUCAAGGGAGCUGGUGGAGAUCAAGGGGUAAGGGUCGGAAAAGGAACUUAUGAUCUGAUCCUUAAACUAGAGGAUUUGGUAUGCUAGGGAUCCUCAGACUCAACCGCUGAAGGGUUCCCAAGUUUUACACAUACACCCUCGGGUUGAAGAAAAAGAUCACAGCCGAGCCCUCGGGCGAGGCGGAUAAGGGUCAGCGGAACAGAUAGGGUUGGGCGAGACGGAACCAGGGUCGGGCGGAUAAGAGGGGUCGGGCGAAGCGGACUGGGGUCGGCAGCUUACCUUCUUCCUACAAGGAAAGCUUGGGGUCGGGGAGAAACAGACUUGGGCGGAGGGGCUAAGGUUUUGAACAACGGCUAGGUCCGACUGUGCUCCGGCGGCUGCGGUGCUCCUUGUGGAUCACAAGUGAGCUCUUACGCAGCACGGAGGAGCAAGCGGCUGGAUGGCUUGGGGAAAACGGAGUGGAGCGGAGAGGAGAGUUCCUCAGGAACUUAGUGUGUGGCGCUAGGAGCUUGAGCAGGGAGCGAGAGAAAAGGUGGAAGGAAGCAAUGGCGGAGGGAACUCCGGCGGGGCUCGCGCAUUCCCUUUUAUAGCGGCUGGGAAGGGAGAAGGGAAGCGGCGCGGGAGUGAGAAGGGGAGCGGCGCGAAGGCUGGGGAAGAACAAUGGAGUGCUCUGCCUGGGCGGCGAUUGAGCGACGAGGGCGGUGGUGCAGGACUUCGGGGAUGACGCCAGCGGUCAUUGGGCUCUGGCGUUAGGGCGGUGCAGGAGCGGGUAUGCCGGUGGUUGAGAUUUGGCGGAGGCGGGCGUCGUCGUGCGGUAGAUUUGAUGGAAUUGACCGGGUUAACGGCGCUAGAAUCAAGGGCGCACAGGUGAGAAGACAGGCAGCCGCGGGCGCGCGGGCGAGCGCGGAGCAACAGAUUGUCGGGCGGCUUCUGACAGGGCGGGGAAAGGAGCUGUCGCUGCCAUGGUCAGGGUUGGCGAAGGAGGAAUCGUCGGGUAGCGAAGACUAGGCGGUGCGACUGUGUUCGAAGUGACGGAAAAGACGGGCGACAUCGGGCUCUACGGCCGGGAUCUGGCGAUGUGAUGAUGGGCGCGGGAGGCGAGGCGUUGCAGAAAGGUUGCAGAGGGGCUUCCGCUGCCAUUGGGGAAGGGGGCGCGAGAAUCCAUUCGGUCGCGGGCCAGAGACGAGGCUGAGCGGUGGGCGUCGGAGAAGUUGAGCCACGCGGCGGGGAGACUCUGAAGCGGGCAUGCAACUCGAGUGCACCUGUCGCGGAAGAUCUGGGGGAAAAAGAUCUCGUGGGUCCACCGGUCAGAUAGAACGGGCGUUUUGGGAAGGACUUAGAAUGAUCCGACGGUGAGCUGGGUUUGGUGGGGUCGGAACCGGAGCGAAGCGGGGAGGGGUCGGGUCUCAGGGGUCGGGACCGGUCGGGAGGUUGAACACUCAGGCUUGGAAAACUAGACAGGUGAUCAGGGGCUCGGAUGAAGAUUAACUUGGAAGAUUUGGGGCCGGUCGUCACAGCAACGCAAUCUAAACCAUCUGCAACUAAUCUCAUAUUCAUUGUUAGCUCCAAAAUAAUAGCAAAUCUCCAUAAUGGAGAAUUAGUAAUUGCAACAUCCACUGUCUUUGAGCGCACACC
Molecule: long non-coding RNA, 11777 nt
Filed under: Setaria viridis
Lineage: Eukaryota; Viridiplantae; Streptophyta; Magnoliopsida; Poales; Poaceae
Description: long non-coding RNA (SVIR_LNC004447)
Source: RNAcentral